This 467-nucleotide ribosomal RNA is filed under the name uncultured bacterium. RNAcentral describes it as "bacterial SSU rRNA". It matches the Rfam family "Bacterial small subunit ribosomal RNA", at positions 329 to 793 of the family's 1533-position model. The record is from RNAcentral.
UACCAGACUCCUACGGGAGGCAGCAGUGAGGAAUAUUGGUCAAUGGGAGGAAUCCUGAACCAGCCAUGCCGCGUGCAGGACGACGGCUCUACGAGUUGUAAACUGCUUUUGUACCGGGGUAAAAUGCCUUACGAGUAGGGUUUUGAAAGUACGGUACGAAUAAGGAUCGGCUAACUCCGUGCCAGCAGCCGCGGUAAUACGGAGGAUCCGAGCGUUAUCCGGAUUCAUUGGGUUUAAAGGGUGCGUAGGUUGUUUUAUAAGUUAGCGGUGAAAUACCGAUGCUCAACAUCGGGGCUGCCGCUAAUACUGUAGGACUAGAGAUCGGAUGCAGCAGGCGGAAUGUGUAGUGUAGCGGUGAAAUGCUUAGAGAUCAUACAGAACACCGAUUGCGAAGGCAGCUUACCAAUCUAUAUCUGACGUUGAGGCACGAAAGCGUGGGGAGCAAACAGGAUUAGAUACCCUUGUAC